RNAcentral lists this ribosomal RNA (367 nucleotides) under uncultured soil bacterium. RNAcentral's name for it is "bacterial SSU rRNA". It matches the Rfam family "Bacterial small subunit ribosomal RNA", at positions 26 to 393 of the family's 1533-position model. The record is from RNAcentral.
AGAUUGAACGCUGGCGGCAUGCCUUACACAUGCAAGCCGAACGGCAGCACGGGAGCAAUCCUGGUGGCGAGUGGCGAACGGGUGAGUAAUAUAUCGGAACGUGCCCAGUCGUGGGGGAUAACGCGAGCGAAAGCUGUGCUAAUACCGCAUACGAUCUAUGGAUGAAAGCGGGGAUCGCAAGACCUCGCGCGAUUGGAGCGGCCGAUAUCAGAUUAGCUAGUUGGUGGGUAAAGCCUACAAGGCGACGAUCUGUAGCGUGGUCUGAGAGGACGACCAGCCACACUGGAACUGAGACACGGUCCAGACUCCGUACGGGAGGCGAGCGAGUGGGGAAUUUUGGACUAAGUGGCGCAAGCCUGAUCCAGCA